AUGGCAGCUGGGAUGCGCUUCCUGCAGCUGUUUGCCGCAGUUCUCGCGUUCUGCCUCGCGCCGGUCAAUUCCAACUGGAUCCCGGCCACCGCCACCUUCUACGGCGGCGCCGACGGCUCCGACACAAUGGGUGGCGCGUGUGGGUACGAGAACCUGUACGUUGCAGGGUAUGGGAUCAACAACGUGGCGCUGAGCACGGCGCUAUUCAAUGACGGUGCAUCGUGCGGGCAGUGCUAUGUCAUUAUCUGCGACACCAGCAAGUCGGAUAUGUGCAAGCCCGGCACGUCCAUCACCGUGUCCGCCACCAACUUCUGCCCUCCCAACUGGGAUCUCCCCAGCGACAACGGUGGGUGGUGCAACCCUCCCCGCCACCACUUCGACAUGUCGCAGCCCGCCUGGGAGAACAUCGGCAUCUACCGUGCCGGCAUCAUCCCCGUCUUCUACCAGCAGGUCAAGUGCUCGAGGCAGGGCGGUGUGCGGUUCACCAUCAACGGCUUCAACUACUUCGAGCUGGUGCUCGUGGCCAACAUUGGCGGGAGCGGGUCGAUCAAGAGCAUGUCGGUGAAAGGGACCAACACAGCAUGGAUCCCCAUGUCCAGGAACUGGGGUGCCAACUGGCACUGCCUCUCGGGGCUCGUUGGGCAGGCGCUCAGCUUUGCCAUCACCUCCACCGGCGGCCAGUACCUCGUCUUCCAGGACGUCGUGCCGGCCUGGUGGCAGUUCGGGCAAACCUUCUCCACCUGGCGCCAGUUUGACUACUAA
This 762-nucleotide ribosomal RNA is filed under the name Triticum aestivum (bread wheat). RNAcentral's name for it is "partial small subunit ribosomal RNA". Lineage: Eukaryota; Viridiplantae; Streptophyta; Magnoliopsida; Poales; Poaceae. The record is from RNAcentral.